Amphiprion ocellaris (clown anemonefish) is the source of this 306-nucleotide long non-coding RNA. The record is from Ensembl. NCBI's taxonomy places the organism in Eukaryota, Metazoa, Chordata, Actinopteri, Pomacentridae.
GGAAAAGUUACCAGUUAUAAGUUACAAGUUGUCUUUAUUAAAUUUCCCAGGAGUUUAGCGUCAUGUGGAUUUCAUAACGAGCCCACCGUUUAACGGCAGGAAGGACUCACCUGGACCAGGUGGAAGCUGAAUUAGUGAGGAUGACUCCUGCUCCUCUCAUCUCUAAGCUCCUCACACAUCUUUACCUGCACAUGAGGAAAAUCACUCCUGUAGAAUGCAGAUGCACAAUGAGGGACAUCUGCAGAGACUGAGAAAGAGUCUCACCACAUCCUGACAUGAGGAAAAAGACUUUAUUGAAGACUACAA